GAUGAACGCUGGCGGCGUGCCUAAUACAUGCAAGUCGAGCGAACGGACGAGAAGCUUGCUUCUCUGAUGUUAGCGGCGGACGGGUGAGUAACACGUGGAUAACCUACCUAUAAGACUGGGAUAACUUCGGGAAACCGGAGCUAAUACCGGAUAAUAUUUUGAACCGCAUGGUUCAAAAGUGAAAGACGGUCUUGCUGUCACUUAUAGAUGGAUCCGCGCUGCAUUAGCUAGUUGGUAAGGUAACGGCUUACCAAGGCAACGAUGCAUAGCCGACCUGAGAGGGUGAUCGGCCACACUGGAACUGACACGGUCCAGACUCCUACGGGAGGCAGCAGUAGGGAAUCUUCCGCAAUGGGCGAAAGCCUGACGGAGCAACGCCGCGUGAGUGAUGAAGGUCUUCGGAUCGUAAAACUCUGUUAUUAGGGAAGAACAUAUGUGUAAGUAACUGUGCACAUCUUGACGGUACCUAAUCAGAAAGCCACGGCUAACUACGUG
This 495-nucleotide ribosomal RNA is filed under the name uncultured bacterium. RNAcentral's name for it is "partial 16S ribosomal RNA". It matches the Rfam family "Bacterial small subunit ribosomal RNA", at positions 28 to 507 of the family's 1533-position model. The record is from RNAcentral.